UCGAGCCGUAUGCGGGGAAACUCGCACGUACGGUUCUUCGGGGGCUCCGUGUCCGGAAGGGCACGGGGCUACCCAAU
RNAcentral lists this non-coding RNA (77 nucleotides) under Paraburkholderia tuberum. Lineage: Bacteria; Pseudomonadati; Pseudomonadota; Betaproteobacteria; Burkholderiales; Burkholderiaceae. The record is from RNAcentral.